This 601-nucleotide ribosomal RNA is filed under the name uncultured freshwater bacterium. Its description in RNAcentral is "bacterial SSU rRNA". It matches the Rfam family "Bacterial small subunit ribosomal RNA", at positions 8 to 607 of the family's 1533-position model. The record is from RNAcentral.
AGAGUUUGAUCCUGGCUCAGAUUGAACGCUGGCGGCAUGCCUUACACAUGCAAGUCGAACGGUAACGCGGGGCAACCUGGCGACGAGUGGCGAACGGGUGAGUAACGCAUCGGAACGUGCCCAGUAGUGGGGGAUAGCCCGGCGAAAGCCGGAUUAAUACCGCAUACGACCUACGGGUGAAAGCGGGGGACCGUAAGGCCUCGCGCUAUUGGAGCGGCCGAUGUCAGAUUAGGUAGUUGGUGGGGUAAAAGCCUACCAAGCCGACGAUCUGUAGCUGGUCUGAGAGGACGACCAGCCACACUGGGACUGAGACACGGCCCAGACUCCUACGGGAGGCAGCAGUGGGGAAUUUUGGACAAUGGGCGCAAGCCUGAUCCAGCCAUGCCGCGUGCGGUAUGAAGGCCUUCGGGUUGUAAACCGCUUUUGUCAGGGAAGAAACGCUCCGGGCCAAUACCCUGNGGUAAUGACGGUACCUGAAGAAUAAGCACCGGCUAACUACGUGCCAGCAGCCGCGGUAAUACGUAGGGUGCAAGCGUUAAUCGGAUUACUGGGCGUAAAGCGUGCGCAGGCGGUUUUGUAAGACAGAGGUGAAAUCCCCGGG